RNAcentral lists this unclassified non-coding RNA (1113 nucleotides) under Saccoglossus kowalevskii. Its description in RNAcentral is "hydrolethalus syndrome protein 1 homolog, transcript variant X3". Lineage: Eukaryota; Metazoa; Hemichordata; Enteropneusta; Harrimaniidae. The record is from RNAcentral.
UGAGCAGUAGGCUUCACUUAGUGCAGGAUCUCUUUAGCAAAACAGUUUGUAAACAUGGAUUUAAAUGGUCCUAAAACUACACUAGAACAUAUAAAUGCUCAGAAUGAUCAGAGUGAAACCGGCCAAGAAGUCUCACCUCGUGUAUUGAAGGAAACUGGCGAUGUCAAGGUUCAUAUUGAAUCAAAGCCCUCGCCUUCCACAACAAUGGCGGAUGAAUCACUUGAUUUCAGUGAAGAAGACAUAAGAAGGCAAUUGGAAGCCUUAGGAUAUUACAACGUACCUCCAUAUCGACUAAGGGAAUUUGCUUCAGAUCUUAAAAAGUUAGUAGAACAUGAAAAAUCAAGUUCAAGAAGUUCAUUUCGAAGUGAUUCAUUUGUAUCAUCAACUGAUGGUGAAGGGUAUCAUAUGCUUCACAGACACAGGAUUCCAUUAAAUGAAAGUAGAAGUAGACAACCAAAUGUCAAUAACCAGUCCAUAGUUGAACACUCCGUAUUUGGAAAAGAAAAUUCUCAUGGGUUGAGUAAAUCUGAUUUCCCAGAGGGAACAAGCCUUGUUGGUGACCACGAAGAUUUAAUCAUUCCUGAUCUAAACCUAUUAUUAGAAGUCCUGAUAGGAAAGUUAUGAGAAAAAGGAAAGUUGUGAGGAAAGUAGGAGGUCAUUCACAAGUGUUUGAUGAAUCAAUAACUGAAAGUGAACAAGACGAUGUAAGCAUACUGAGAGACAGAUUUGACCAUCUUCCGAUCAGAGAGGAUGAUGCAUCAUCUGUGACUGAGAGUGAAACAUCAGCAGAUGUUAUCCAACAAAUUUACAGUAGGAGACCGUUUUCAGCGAGACCAGACUUGUUUCCAGACAGCAGCAGGGUUUCAAGGGAAGAAGAUAGUAUAUAUGCUCCUAAUUUACCAAGAUCAUUUAUACGUCCUGGUACAGCUCACCCACAUACAAAGAAUCUCCGGAAAACUGAUCCAGUUACCAGAUAUCAUUUAUAUCAACAAAGUUGGAAUUCAUACAAAGUUCCUGGUGAGAAGAAUAGAAAAGAGCUGCGAUGGGCAGUGCGGGAGCAAAUGCUUCAUAAAGAUGAGGUGUAUCGACCCAAACGUGACCAAAAGGUGUUUG